RNAcentral lists this ribosomal RNA (634 nucleotides) under uncultured Marinobacter sp. Its description in RNAcentral is "bacterial SSU rRNA". It matches the Rfam family "Bacterial small subunit ribosomal RNA", at positions 870 to 1504 of the family's 1533-position model. The record is from RNAcentral. Lineage: Bacteria; Pseudomonadati; Pseudomonadota; Gammaproteobacteria; Pseudomonadales; Marinobacteraceae.
CGCCUGGGGAGUGCGGCCGCAAGGUUAAAACUCAAAUGAAUUGACGGGGACCCGCACAAGCGGUGGAGCAUGUGGUUUAAUUCGACGCAACGCGAAGAACCUUACCUGGCCUUGACAUGCAGAGAACUUUCCAGAGAUGGAUUGGUGCCUUCGGGAACUCUGACACAGGUGCUGCAUGGCCGUCGUCAGCUCGUGUCGUGAGAUGUUGGGUUAAGUCCCGUAACGAGCGCAACCCCUAUCCCUAGUUGCUAGCAGUUCGGCUGAGAACUCUAGGGAGACUGCCGGUGACAAACCGGAGGAAGGUGGGGAUGACGUCAGGUCAUCAUGGCCCUUACGGCCAGGGCUACACACGUGCUACAAUGGUGCGCACAGAGGGCUGCAAACCCGCGAGGGGGAGCCAAUCUCACAAAACGCAUCGUAGUCCGGAUCGCAGUCUGCAACUCGACUGCGUGAAGUCGGAAUCGCUAGUAAUCGUGAAUCAGAAUGUCACGGUGAAUACGUUCCCGGGCCUUGUACACACCGCCCGUCACACCAUGGGAGUGGAUUGCACCAGAAGUGGUUAGUCUAACCUUCGGGAGGACGAUCACCACGGUGUGGUUCAUGACUGGGGUGAAGUCGUAACAAGGUAACCGUA